UCCCCUAGUAACUGCGAGUGAAGCGGGAAGAGCUCAAAUUUAAAAUCUGGCAGUCUUCUGGCUGUCCGAGUUGUAAUCUGGAGAAGCGUUUUCUGUGUUAGACCGUGUACAAGUCUCCUGGAACGGAGCGUCAUAGAGGGUGAGAAUCCCGUCCAUGACACGGACUACUAAUACUUUGUGAUACGCUCUCGAAGAGUCGAGUUGUUUGGGAAUGCAGCUCAAAAUGGGUGGUAAAUUCCAUCUAAAGCUAAAUACAGGCGAGAGACCGAUAGCGAACAAGUACCGUGAGGGAAAGAUGAAAAGCACUUUGGAAAGAGAGUUAAACAGUACGUGAAAUUGUUGAAAGGGAAACGCUUGAAGUCAGUCGCGUUGUGCAGAACUCAGCCUUGCCUCGGCUUGGUGUACUUUCUGCACAACGGGUCAACAUCAAUUUUGGCUCAUGCAGAAAGGUGGGGGGAAUGUAGCGCUGUUUCGGCCGCGUGUUAUAGCCCUCUAUUGUAUACAUGGGCUGGGAUUGAGGAUCGCAGCACGCCCUUGUGGCCGGGGGUUCGCCCUACGUACCGUGCUU
Molecule: ribosomal RNA, 568 nt
Filed under: Phellinus robustus
Lineage: Eukaryota; Fungi; Basidiomycota; Agaricomycetes; Hymenochaetales; Hymenochaetaceae
Description: eukaryotic LSU rRNA
Rfam family: Eukaryotic large subunit ribosomal RNA
Source: RNAcentral